GAUGAACGCUAGCGACAGGCUUAACACAUGCAAGUCGAGGGGCAGCAUGGGAGGUGGCGACACCACCCGAUGGCGACCGGCGCACUGGUGAGUAACACGUAUGCAACCUGCCCCCUACAGGGGGAUAACCCAGAGAAAUUUGGCCUAAUACCCCGUAGUCAGCGAGAGGGCAUCCUCUUGCUGGGAAAGCUCCGGCGGUAGGGGAUGGGCAUGCGGCGCAUUAGCUUGUUGGCGGGGUAACGGCCCACCAAGCCGACGAUGCCUAGGGGGGCUGAGAGGCCUGACCCCCACACUGGUACUGAGACACGGACCAGACUCCUACGGGAGGCAGCAGUGAGGAAUAUUGGUCAAUGGGCGGAAGCCUGAACCAGCCAUGCCGCGUGAGGGAUGGAGGCCCUAUGGGUUGUAAACCUCUUUUAGCCGGGAGUAAUAAGGGCGGUGCGCCGUCCGAUGAGAGUACCGGCGGAAUAAGCAUCGGCUAACUCCGUGCCAGCAGCCGCGGUAAUACGGAGGAUGCGAGCGUUAUCCGGAUUUAUUGGGUUUAAAGGGUGCGCAGGCGGCGCGUUAAGUCAGCGGUGAAAUGCCCCGGCUCAACCGGGGAGCUGCCGUUGAUACUGGCGUGCUGGAGUGCGAACGGCGCCGGCGGAAUGUGCAAUGUAGCGGUGAAAUGCAUAGAUAUUGCACAGAACACCGAUCGCGAAGGCAGCUGGCGAGGACGCAACUGACGCUGAGGCACGAAGGCGUGGGGAUCGAACA
This 756-nucleotide ribosomal RNA is filed under the name uncultured bacterium. RNAcentral describes it as "bacterial SSU rRNA". It matches the Rfam family "Bacterial small subunit ribosomal RNA", at positions 28 to 774 of the family's 1533-position model. The record is from RNAcentral.